RNAcentral lists this transfer RNA (71 nucleotides) under Nephromyces sp. ex Molgula occidentalis. Its description in RNAcentral is "tRNA-Gly". It matches the Rfam family "tRNA". Rfam says of the family: Transfer RNA (tRNA) molecules are approximately 80 nucleotides in length. Their secondary structure includes four short double-helical elements and three loops (D, anti-codon, and T loops). The record is from RNAcentral. Lineage: Eukaryota; Apicomplexa; Aconoidasida; Nephromycida.
GCAAGUAUAGUUUAGUGGUAAAACAUUAACCUUCCAAGUUAAAAAUACGAGUUCAAUUCUCGUUACUUGCU